Molecule: long non-coding RNA, 805 nt
Filed under: Fukomys damarensis (Damara mole-rat)
Lineage: Eukaryota; Metazoa; Chordata; Mammalia; Rodentia; Bathyergidae
Description: lncRNA (ENSFDAG00000032825.1)
Source: RNAcentral
GUCCUUUUAAUCUUCAUUUUGAACAGUUGCUACUCCAAUUAAAUUCUACCACCUAGCAUUUUCAAACAGCUCCUGGUUGUUUCCACAAACUUCGUUAAUGGACAGCUGUUUCUGACAGCUCCCCUGAUUUGCCAGUGCUGUGUCGGCUGCCAGAGCAGGAGGCCCCGUUCUGUAUUCUGCUGCUGGCACCGAGGGAUAUGCAAAUGAGCACACGAAUCAGUUGUCACCACCACAGACACCGUGCAGGGAGAUGAUCAGAAUGCGUGGGGAGCAGAGUUGGCUGCAAGUGAGGGGAGAAAUGCGGGGGGGCUUCGAUUUCUUAAAGUGAGUUUUCUUUUCUUUUCUCUUUCUUUUUUCAAGUGUCACCAGUUCAUUUUCACUUUGUGGAAUUCAUUUGGUUUCAGUUCAGGAAAGUGCAAUCUGUUCCUCACCGAUCACUGACAGUAACCUGAAAGUCUGGGAAUGACAGAAACUUUUCAGUUAUUUGUAGAAGGACCUGAUACCACAGGGUUCGUCUCUAUACAUGAACACAGCCCUAGUCUGAAGAGACUGAAAAAAGAGAGACAACGGGUGUUGAAAGAGGAGUGAAGCUGCUAUUCCCAUCAGUAUAGACGUCCAGCAAGUCAGGGACAAGGUGAGUGAAUGAGGUUAGGUGGGGCCAGGAGCCCCACUCCAACUGAGCUGUUUCACUUCACCUUCCCUGCCAUGCAAGUCCUAACUCAACCCAUAACAAGAAAGUAAAUCCAGGAAUCUAAUUUCCAGAUUUGUUGGGUUGACCCUUAUAAAGCAUCAUAGCUGUAUUUCC